CAGAUCACACUCAAAUCAUUAUAUACCAUUACAUAAAAUCACCUAACAUUAUCAUGCCUUGUCAUACUAUUUGUGACAUUCAUUUUCUACUCAAAUCUUUGCAUCAAAACAUCAUAUCCAUAUCAUCAUUGUAAUGGCCCAAAUUUUCCCGGCCCGAUACAAAUAUUAUAACCCAAAUAAAUAAAUAAAAUAAACCAAAUAAAUGUCCAGUUUAUUACAACCAAGCCCAAACCCGAUUACAAAACCCAAAAUUCCCAAGCCUAAACUGUUAACUCAAUACUUAACCCUCCAGGCCCAAAUCACUCAGCCCAAAUUAGCCUAACAUGGGGAAAUCAGAAACCCUAGGCAGCAGUUACCGUGCCGUAAUAGAGCACGAGCCCCCUUUCGUGUGUGUGCGCGAGCCUCCGUACGAGCACGCCCCUCCCACACAUAGCCCCCGUACAUGCUGGCCCUCGUACGACCAUGUACCUGCAAAGGACCAACAAACGAGCAAAAACAGAAGGCAAUAAUGGCAAAAAGAGAAUAGCAGAGAAAAAAUAGCAGAUUUUUUUAGAAAAAAAUUCUUGUAAAUCUUGAUUUUAUUUCCGGCUAUAUAAAAGCCGUUUUGGGAAUUUGUAAAGGAUCCCCCCUUUUUACACAUCCAAUAUAUACAAAGAUCAAAAAAGAACCAAAAAAGCUUGGAGGUAAAUCAGAAAGUUUGUCUUUUUUUUCUUUUCAUUUUCUUUUUGAAUCGCCUCUUUGUAUAUAUAAGAAAAGCAAAUAAAAGGAAAAGAGGAGUCAGAACGCACUUGGGACCAGCCUUGUGCUCUCUUCGUCGCAAAUCGGAGUCGAGCAUAGGAUUCGGAAAGCCCUGUUCUGAGGCGAUGAGCGGCGCUGAGAGGGGAGCGUUCGGAUUUUUUUAGUUUUUUUAGUUCCGUUUUGCAAAAUGAAAGGAUGUCUGCUUAGAUUAGGGUUUGUUCCAGUUUUAUGUAGCUAGAAACGGCGUCGUUUGAGGCUGAGUUCCAGUGGCCUCAAAACGGCACCGUAUAAGGCCAGACCCACGUGCUCGACCUGACCCGCCUAGGAUCCGCGCGAUUUUGGACCGAAGGGGUUAUUUGCGCCCUCAGUCCUUCCGCGUUUGAGGCCGUUUACAAUUGGGUCCUAUCCCCUUUUGUCUUUUGUUUUAAUUUUACCCCAGGCAUCCUUUUUUUUUUGCGAUUUGAUCCAUAGACCUUCUGCACUGACCAUGCUAGAACGAUGUCUUGUGCCGAAUGAAAAGGGUUAUUUUUGCGGUUAGUCCCUCCGCUUUUGAUUCAGUUCUUAAUGGCGUCCUUUUUAGUUUUAAAUUUUCCCGUGUAAUUUUGUUAACGUUUCAUUUUAGUCUCGUUUAAAGCGGUGCGUGUAAGGGUCAGGGAUUAAUUUCCCGAUUAGCCCCCGCAUCUUGGCUUGUGUUCCAACCAACUCCUUUUUUAUAUUUCAAAUCCAACCCACUAAUUUUAUUUAAACUCCAAUACGGUCCUUAAUCAAUUUAAGUUCAAUUUUUUUUUAAAAAUGGUUACUAAUUUUAUUUGAUAUUCGUUUAAUUAUUUGUUUUAAAUUUCCAAUUAAGCUUAUAGGUAUUUUAUUUAUUUAUUAUUCAUUUGCUUUAUGUUUAUUGGUUGACGCGUAUUAUUUGUGCUUUAUUCUCGCUAUCUAUUUAUUUAAUAAUGUCAAAUGCUUCCAAAUUUAGAUCUAUUCUGGGCAUUGUCGUUGUUAAGUUCGUAGUAUUAUACAUGUCAUUGUAUUAUUAUUAUUCAUGCACAUUGAUACUAGAACUUUUAAAUAUUAAAACAUUUGUAUUGUACGAUGUAUGUUAGGCCUUUGUUUUAAAUGCAUGUUGUAUUAUUA
This 1866-nucleotide long non-coding RNA is filed under the name Gossypium barbadense (sea-island cotton). RNAcentral describes it as "long non-coding RNA (GBAR_LNC021925)". Lineage: Eukaryota; Viridiplantae; Streptophyta; Magnoliopsida; Malvales; Malvaceae. The record is from RNAcentral.